AGCAGCCGCGGUAAUUCCAGCUCCAAUAGCGUAUAUUAAAGUUGUUGCAGUUAAAAAGCUCGUAGUUGAAUUUCGGAAUUUGUCGGUUGGUCGGGCUUCACUGUCCGCACUGACCUGAUGGAUUCCUACCUUCUGAAUAACCAGCAUGCUAUUAAGUUAGUGCGUUGGGGAAGCAGAGCUAUUACCUUGAAAAAUUAGAGUGCUUAAAGCAGGCUUGUGCUUGAAUAGAUUAGCAUGGAAUAAUAAAAUAGGACGGCAUGGUUCUAUUUUGUUGGUUUCUAGGAUCACCGUAAUGAUUAAUAGGGAUAGUUGGGGGCAUUAGUAUUCAAUUGUCAGAGGUGAAAUUCUUGGAUUUAUUGAAGACUAACUUCUGCGAAAGCAUUUGCCAAGGAUGUUUUUAUUAAUCAAGAACGAAAGUUAGGGGAUCGAAGACGAUCAGAUACCGUCGUAGUCUUAACCAUAAACUAUGCCGACUAGGGAUCGGACGAUGUUAAUUUUUAAUGUACUCGUUCGCGUACCG
RNAcentral lists this ribosomal RNA (520 nucleotides) under uncultured Acaulospora. RNAcentral's name for it is "SSU rRNA". It matches the Rfam family "Eukaryotic small subunit ribosomal RNA", at positions 569 to 1088 of the family's 1831-position model. The record is from RNAcentral. Lineage: Eukaryota; Fungi; Glomeromycota; Glomeromycetes; Diversisporales; Acaulosporaceae.